GACGAACGCGGGCGGCGUGCCUAAUACAUGCAAGUAGGACGCACAGCCUAUACCGUAGCUUGCUACACCAUAGGCUGUGAGUUGCGAACGGGUGAGUAACGCGUAGGUAACCUGCCUAUUAGAGGGGGAUAACUAUUGGAAACGAUAGCUAAUACCGCAUAACAGUAUGUAACACGUGUUAGAUGCUUGAAAGAUGCAAUUGCAUCGCUAGUAGAUGGACCUGCGUUGUAUUAGCUAGUAGGUAGGGUAAUGGCCUACCUAGGCAACGAUACAUAGCCGACCUGAGAGGGUGAUCGGCCACACUGGGACUGAGACACGGCCCAGACUCCUACGGGAGGCAGCAGUAGGGAAUCUUCGGCAAUGGGGGGAACCCUGACCGAGCAACGCCGCGUGAGUGAAGAAGGUUUUCGGAUCGUAAAGCUCUGUUGUUAAGGAAGAACGAGUGUGAGAAUGGAAAGUUCAUACUGUGACGGUACUUAACCAGAAAGGGACGGCUAACUACGUGCCAGCAGCCGCGGUAAUACGUAGGUCCCGAGCGUUGUCCGGAUUUAUUGGGCGUAAAGCGAGCGCAGGCGGUUAGAAAAGUCUGAAGUGAAAGGCAGUGGCUCAACCAUUGUAGGCUUUGGAAACUGUUUAACUUGAGUGCAGAAGGGGAGAGUGGAAUUCCAUGUGUAGCGGUGAAAUGCGUAGAUAUAUGGAGGAACACCGGUGGCGAAAGCGGCUCUCUGGUCUGUCACUGACGCUGAGGCUCGAAAGCGUGGGGAGCGAACAGG
RNAcentral lists this ribosomal RNA (773 nucleotides) under Streptococcus anginosus. Its description in RNAcentral is "bacterial SSU rRNA". It matches the Rfam family "Bacterial small subunit ribosomal RNA", at positions 28 to 776 of the family's 1533-position model. The record is from RNAcentral. Lineage: Bacteria; Bacillati; Bacillota; Bacilli; Lactobacillales; Streptococcaceae.